Molecule: unclassified non-coding RNA, 187 nt
Filed under: Paraglomerales sp.
Lineage: Eukaryota; Fungi; Glomeromycota; Glomeromycetes; Paraglomerales
Description: partial contains 5.8S ribosomal RNA and internal transcribed spacer 2
Rfam family: 5.8S ribosomal RNA (bases 1-65)
Source: RNAcentral
GUGAAUCAUCAAAUUUUUGAACGCAAAUUGCGCCUUCUUCGGAAGGCAUGUCCGUUUGAGGGCACCAUUUAACAACUAAUGUGCAUGCUGUUUGUAUUUUUACGCCCGCGUGCACACGUUGUUGAGCUUUUCCCAAAAUAGCAAUUUAUUUGGUGGCACGUACUCUCCAGCGUCAGCUUUCCCCUCA